UAAUUUCCGAAGCAUUGUUUUGCGCUAUGACGGUAUCUAACCAGAAAGCCACGGCUAACUACGUGCCAGCAGCCGCGGUAAUACGUAGGUGGCAAGCGUUGUCCGGAUUUAUUGGGCGUAAAGGGAGCGCAGGCGGUUGCUUAAGUCUGAUGUGAAAGCCCUCGGCUUAACCGAGGAGGGGCAUUGGAAACUGGGCCAACUUGAGUGCAGAAGAGGAAAGUGGAAUUCCAUGUGUAGCGGUGAAAUGCGUAGAUAUAUGGAGGAACACCAGUGGCGAAGGCGGCUGUCUGGUCUGCCACUGACGCUGAGGUUCGAAAGCAUGGGGAGCAAACAGGAUUAAAUACCCUGGUAGCCCAUGCCGAACACGAUGAAUGCCACGUGUUGGAGGGCUUCCCCCUUUUAUUGCUGGAGUUAACGCCUUAACUAUUUUGUUUGGGUAGUACAACCGCUGGUUGAAACAUUUUGGAUUUGACGGCCCCCGCAUACCCUUUCAGCUCUGUUCUUCUCCCCCACUACCCGAAGACUUUACCGGUCUUGAUCUCCUUUCCCCCUUUAUCUACAAUCCCGUCCCUUUGGGGAUUCAUAGUUGUGUCUUCUUCUUCUUUCCUUUUUUUUUUUUUUUAUUUCCUUCCUUUCCCCCC
RNAcentral lists this ribosomal RNA (641 nucleotides) under uncultured Lactobacillales bacterium. RNAcentral's name for it is "partial 16S ribosomal RNA". The stretch from base 1 to 546 matches the Rfam family "Bacterial small subunit ribosomal RNA", at positions 447 to 1533 of the family's 1533-position model. The record is from RNAcentral. Lineage: Bacteria; Bacillati; Bacillota; Bacilli; Lactobacillales.